UGAGGAAUAUUGGUCAAUGGACGGAAGUCUGAACCAGCCAAGUAGCGUGCAGGAUGACGGCCCUAUGGGUUGUAAACUGCUUUUGUAUGGGGAUAAAGUUAGGGACGUGUCCCUAUUUGCAGGUACCAUAUGAAUAAGGACCGGCUAAUUCCGUGCCAGCAGCCGCGGUAAUACGGAAGGUUCAGGCGUUAUCCGGAUUUAUUGGGUUUAAAGGGAGCGUAGGCUGGAGAUUAAGUGUGUUGUGAAAUGUAGACGCUCAACGUCUGACUUGCAGCGCAUACUGGUUUCCUUGAGUACGCACAACGUUGGCGGAAUUCGUCGUGUAGCGGUGAAAUGCUUAGAUAUGACGAAGAACUCCGAUUGCGAAGGCAGCUGACGGGAGCGCAACUGACGCUUAAGCUCGAAGGUGCGGGUAUCAAACAGGAUUAGAUACCCUGGUAGUCCGCACAGUAAACGAUGGAUGCCCGCUGUUGGUACCUGGUAUCAGCGGCUAAGCGAAAGCAUUAAGCAUCCCACCUGGGGAGUACGCCGGCAACGGUGA
This 541-nucleotide ribosomal RNA is filed under the name uncultured bacterium. RNAcentral's name for it is "bacterial SSU rRNA". It matches the Rfam family "Bacterial small subunit ribosomal RNA", at positions 355 to 897 of the family's 1533-position model. The record is from RNAcentral.